RNAcentral lists this ribosomal RNA (1071 nucleotides) under Escherichia sp. RNAcentral's name for it is "bacterial SSU rRNA". It matches the Rfam family "Bacterial small subunit ribosomal RNA", at positions 61 to 1121 of the family's 1533-position model. Lineage: Bacteria; Pseudomonadati; Pseudomonadota; Gammaproteobacteria; Enterobacterales; Enterobacteriaceae. The record is from RNAcentral.
GUCGAACGGUAACAGGAAGAAGCUUGCUUCUUUGCUGACGAGUGGCGGACGGGUGAGUAAUGUCUGGGAAACUGCCUGAUGGAGGGGGAUAACUACUGGAAACGGUAGCUAAUACCGCAUAACGUCGCAAGACCAAAGAGGGGGACCUUCGGGCCUCUUGCCAUCGGAUGUGCCCAGAUGGGAUUAGCUUGUUGGUGGGGUAACGGCUCACCAAGGCGACGAUCCCUAGCUGGUCUGAGAGGAUGACCAGCCACACUGGAACUGAGACACGGUCCAGACUCCUACGGGAGGCAGCAGUGGGGAAUAUUGCACAAUGGGCGCAAGCCUGAUGCAGCCAUGCCGCGUGUAUGAAGAAGGCCUUCGGGUUGUAAAGUACUUUCAGCGGGGAGGAAGGGAGUAAAGUUAAUACCUUUGCUCAUUGACGUUACCCGCAGAAGAAGCACCGGCUAACUCCGUGCCAGCAGCCGCGGUAAUACGGAGGGUGCAAGCGUUAAUCGGAAUUACUGGGCGUAAAGCGCACGCAGGCGGUUUGUUAAGUCAGAUGUGAAAUCCCCGGGCUCAACCUGGGAACUGCAUCUGAUACUGGCAAGCUUGAGUCUCGUAGAGGGGGGUAGAAUUCCAGGUGUAGCGGUGAAAUGCGUAGAGAUCUGGAGGAAUACCGGUGGCGAAGGCGGCCCCCUGGACGAAGACUGACGCUCAGGUGCGAAAGCGUGGGGAGCAAACAGGAUUAGAUACCCUGGUAGUCCACGCCGUAAACGAUGUCGACUUGGAGGUUGUGCCCUUGAGGCGUGGCUUCCGGAGCUAACGCGUUAAGUCGACCGCCUGGGGAGUACGGCCGCAAGGUUAAAACUCAAAUGAAUUGACGGGGGCCCGCACAAGCGGUGGAGCAUGUGGUUUAAUUCGAUGCAACGCGAAGAACCUUACCUGGUCUUGACAUCCACGGAAGUUUUCAGAGAUGAGAAUGUGCCUUCGGGAACCGUGAGACAGGUGCUGCAUGGCUGUCGUCAGCUCGUGUUGUGAAAUGUUGGGUUAAGUCCCGCAACGAGCGCAACCCUUAUCCUUUGUUGCCAG